This 204-nucleotide long non-coding RNA is filed under the name Gossypium raimondii (Peruvian cotton). Its description in RNAcentral is "long non-coding RNA (GRAI_LNC009934)". The record is from RNAcentral. Lineage: Eukaryota; Viridiplantae; Streptophyta; Magnoliopsida; Malvales; Malvaceae.
CAGGCAAUCCCACCUAUAAAUACACCCUUCACCUAUUCAUUCAACACACCAUUCAUUUCCCACACAUCUCUCUUUCACUCACAUUCUCUUAUUUGUUUCCCAUUUUUCCCUUCUUCUUUCCUUUGUUGAUUUCCCUCUUGGAAAAGAGUCUUUCAACCACCUUGGGUAGCAGCAUUCAAGUGCUUAUAGAAGCCUCAAUUCAAC